This 471-nucleotide ribosomal RNA is filed under the name Triticum aestivum (bread wheat). RNAcentral describes it as "partial small subunit ribosomal RNA". Lineage: Eukaryota; Viridiplantae; Streptophyta; Magnoliopsida; Poales; Poaceae. The record is from RNAcentral.
AUGCCUGGGACUGCGCAUAAACCGGAACGACUCGGCUGCUGUGUCAAACACAAUGAUGUCUCUGGCGCCUCCCGUCACGUCACAGACGUGAGGAUUCCAGUGCAUGUUGCCCCGGUGGUCGACCGGCGGAUGGUAGAAGCACAACUGUGCCUCUUGAUUUUUUUUCUUCCACAGAAGUAUAAAUUUGCUUCUCAUGGAGGCACAUAUACUUCAGCGAGAAGCACAGUUGUGCCUUUCGAAAAAGAAAAAAUACGUGUUUUUUCUUUCUUUUACAAAAAGCACAAAUUUUCUUUCGCGGGAAGCACAAUCGUGCCUCUCGAAAAGAAAAAGAAAACCAAUUAUUUUUGCUUCCAUGAGAAGCACAGAUUUCCUUGUCGCGGAGGCAUAAAUUUGCAUCCGCGAGAAGCACUGAUGUUUUCUCAGCGGAGGAAAAAACAAUUAGGCCUGGGGAGCAGCCCUGAUAGGUGUUAA